Molecule: ribosomal RNA, 520 nt
Filed under: bacterium BTR84
Lineage: Bacteria
Description: bacterial SSU rRNA
Rfam family: Bacterial small subunit ribosomal RNA
Source: RNAcentral
GGGGAUCUGAGAGGAUGACCCCCCACACUGGUACUGAGACACGGACCAGACUCCUACGGGAGGCAGCAGUAAGGAAUAUUGGUCAAUGGAGGCAACUCUGAACCAGCCAUGCCGCGUGCAGGAAGACUGCCCUAUGGGUUGUAAACUGCUUUUAUCCGGGAAUAAACCUCUUUACGUGUAGAGAGCUGAAUGUACCGGAAGAAUAAGGAUCGGCUAACUCCGUGCCAGCAGCCGCGGUAAUACGGAGGAUCCAAGCGUUAUCCGGAUUUAUUGGGUUUAAAGGGUGCGUAGGCGGCCUGUUAAGUCAGGGGUGAAAGACGGUAGCUCAACUAUCGCAGUGCCCUUGAUACUGAUGGGCUUGAAUGGACUAGAGGUAGGCGGAAUGAGACAAGUAGCGGUGAAAUGCAUAGAUAUGUCUCAGAACACCGAUUGCGAAGGCAGCUUACUAUGGUUUAAUUGACGCUGAGGCACGAAAGCGUGGGGAUCAGACAGGAUUAGAUACCCUGGUAGUCCACGCCCU